ACCCUGGUGGCUGCUGGUUUCCUGGGGAGCAGUGGGACUCUGAAGAGUCUUCUCCAGCACCACAACUUGAAAGCAUCAACUCUUUGGCACUCAGCCUUCUUUAUGGUUCAACUGUGAUAUCCGUACAUGACUACUGGAAAACCACAGCUUUGACUCUACGGACCUUUGACUGGAGGAGCUGCACACCUUGGGAGAUGGGAGAGAUAUGAACGAGAAGGUUAAUGUUUCCGUACACCUCAGAAUCAUGAUGGCUCACGGGAAGCGUGUGUGUGUUUCCUCCUGCAAAUAAGAGGUGCCACAGCCCAGGACGCUGAUUCUCAAUGUACCUAAGAGAUGGCAUGUCAUCCCCACUUUGGACUUGAGGCUGGAGAGGGAUGGGGAGCCAUUGGCGUGGGGCACCCAAGGGAGAGAAGGUCUCAAACUCUUCCGUGGAGCUGGGCAGCCUGGCUUAAAGAAAAACAGUAACUAGUUUCUUGGUU
This 479-nucleotide long non-coding RNA is filed under the name Bos taurus (domestic cattle). RNAcentral's name for it is "long non-coding RNA NONBTAT005544". The record is from RNAcentral. Lineage: Eukaryota; Metazoa; Chordata; Mammalia; Artiodactyla; Bovidae.